Molecule: long non-coding RNA, 417 nt
Filed under: Ictidomys tridecemlineatus (thirteen-lined ground squirrel)
Lineage: Eukaryota; Metazoa; Chordata; Mammalia; Rodentia; Sciuridae
Description: lncRNA (ENSSTOG00000029928.1)
Source: RNAcentral
GCAGGAUUAGGGCAACCUUGCAGCCCGAGGCUCGGCAGCUACCAUCUGCAAAGAAUGGGUGCCACCUUUAGCCCGGAAGGAGCUUCCACAGCUUCAUGCAAACUGCUGAGCCCAGAGUGACCAGCCUAGCUUGCUGCACACAGUUUUCAAGAAGUGUUUCUGACUGGUUGCUUGAGGGUUAACUUCCAGUCAGAGUAGGCACGAUGGAUGAAAGGCUUGUCAUCUGUUUGGGUGGCCAUGCAGGACGAGGCCCCAAAUACUGCUUCCAAACCAAGCAUCUAUGUUCUUCAAACAUCUCACCUGAAACCAUACUUAAUAUCAGAACUCAUCCUGACUUUUAAAAGGAGAAGAAAUCACAUAUUGGAAAUGAGAUGCGCAUGGAUUAGAUGUCCUCAAAGAAAGGGGUCCACUCAUUGA